This 825-nucleotide ribosomal RNA is filed under the name Platycephalotrema bassense. RNAcentral describes it as "partial large subunit ribosomal RNA". It matches the Rfam family "Eukaryotic large subunit ribosomal RNA", at positions 41 to 647 of the family's 3401-position model. The record is from RNAcentral. Lineage: Eukaryota; Metazoa; Platyhelminthes; Monogenea; Dactylogyridea; Ancyrocephalidae.
UAUCAGUAAGCGGAGGAAAAGAAACUAACCAGGAUUCUCCUAGUAACGGCGAGUGAACGGAGAUUAGCCCAUCACCGAAGUCUAUUCACGUUUGUGGACAGGACAAUGUGGUGUUUAAGCAUGCGCCUGGGAUCGUUGACCUGCCCUAAGUCCAACUCCGAUUGCGGCAUUGGAUAUUGUCCAAAGCGGGUGAAAGACCCGUUCGGGCAGGUAUAUUUGUCUUUAUUAACGAUUCCUUGAUGCGUGUGCUAUCGAGUCGGAUUGCUUGAGAAUGCAGUCCAAAGUGGGUGGUAAACUCCAUCCAAGGCUAAAUACUGGCACGAGUCCGAUAGUAGACAAGUACCGUGAGGGAAAGUUGAAAAGUACUCUGAAGAGAGAGUAAAUAGUACGUGAAACCGCUUGCAGAGAAUCAGUUGGAGUCAAGCUUCAUGCUUGGAGGAUUAUCGUCCGGUCUAUAUUGUGUCAGGAUGUGGGGUUAGGCAACUUGGAAUAAGUUGGACGCAUCUGAUGCGUUUCAAGUCUUUCUGGGGAGCUUGAUUGUCCGUGCCCCUAUCUCCUCGAUCGGAUGACGAAUCUUCCUGUGCAUAAAUCACGGUUGAUAGUGGUUGUGUGCAUUGUGACUUUCUAACAGUGCUUUAGUCAGCUUUUGUUGGCUGGGUGCUGAAGGGAAGGUGUUGUCAUCGGUUGUUCUAAUCGAUGGCGAUUAUUAUGGUCUCGACCAUCUGGUUGUCAUAAUAAUGCAUCACCGCUAUUGCAUGUAUAGUGAUGGACCUAUGGGUUUGUCGCUGGUCAAGACCGUGAUUCUGAGGUAGACUUUCCAUCUGA